This is an unclassified non-coding RNA of 224 nucleotides. The stretch from base 1 to 46 matches the Rfam family "Eukaryotic small subunit ribosomal RNA", at positions 1786 to 1831 of the family's 1831-position model.
AAGUCGUAACAAGGUUUCCGUAGGUGAACCUGCGGAAGGAUCAUUACCGAGUUGAUUCGAGCUCCGGCUCGACUCUCCCACCCUUUGUUUACCUACCUCUGUUGCUUUGGCGGUGCCGCCCCCGGGCGCCCGCCAGAGGACUUCAAAACUCCAGUCAGUGAACGUCUCAGUCUGAAAAACAAGUUAAUAAACUAAAACUUUCAACAACGGAUCUCUUGGUUCUG